AUUAGAUACCCUGGUAGUCCACGCAGUAAACGAUGAAUGCUAGAUGUCCGGGUCGAAUGAGACCUGGGUGUCACAGCGAAAGCGUUAAGCAUUCCACCUGGGGAGUACGCCGGCAACGGUGAAACUCAAAGGAAUUGACGGGGGCCCGCACAAGCGGAGGAACAUGUGGUUUAAUUCGAUGAUACGCGAGGAACCUUACCCGGGCUCAAACGUGGAAGGAAUGAGUGUGAAAGCAUUCAGUCCUCCGGGACUUUCCACGAGGUGCUGCAUGGUUGUCGUCAGCUCGUGCCGUGAGGUGUCGGCUUAAGUGCCAUAACGAGCGCAACCCCCAUCGACAGUUGCUAACAGGUAAAGCUGAGGACUCUGUCGAGACUGCCGGCGCAAGCUGUGAGGAAGGCGGGGAUGACGUCAAAUCAGCACGGCCCUUACGUCCGGGGCGACACACGUGUUACAAUGGCAGGGACAGCGGGAAGCCAUCCGGCGACGGAGAGCGGAACCCGAAACCCUGUCUCAGUUCGGAUUGGAGUCUGCAACUCGACUCCAUGAAGCUGGAUUCGCUAGUAAUCGCGCAUCAGCCAUGGCGCGGUGAAUACGUUCCCGGGCCUUGUACACACCGCCCGUCAAGCCAUGGAAGCCGGGAGUGCCUGAAGUACGUGACCGUAAAAGGAGCGUCCUAGGGUAAAACCGGUGACUGGGGCUAAGUCGUAACACGGUAACAAGGGCG
Molecule: ribosomal RNA, 724 nt
Filed under: uncultured bacterium
Lineage: Bacteria
Description: bacterial SSU rRNA
Rfam family: Bacterial small subunit ribosomal RNA
Source: RNAcentral